GGGAGGAGGCUGCUGGACGGCUCUGCCCGGCACCGCCAGCUCCAUUCAUCUCUCCUCCCUUCUCCCAGCAGCGGUGUCCACGUCCGUGUUCAUCGUGGCGAUCCUGAUCCUGCUGCUGCUCUUGUACCACCGGGACCCCUUGUGCUGCCAGUUCCUCUGCUCGUGCCGCUUCUUCCAGAGUCCGAGCCAGUAUGACUGCCCCCCUCCGUACUUCAGCAGCAGCCAGCGGCUGGUGGGACCCCAGCAUGGAGCGUCGCGACUGGAGAGCGCUGCCGAGAACCCCGGCAUGCAGGGAGAUGAGCUAUUCUGCGUUGGACCCCCAAGCAGCUACCAGCUCCCUUCCUGGGAGCAGCCUCGCUUGCCGAGCUAUGAGAGUGUGCGGAAGAAAGAUCGCCAGCGGGAAAUCCACCAGAUGAUCGCUGAGAGGUUUGGGCUGUGGGCAGACCCUUCCCAGGAGAUGCCGCCUCCCUACGAGCAUGCUCUAAGGCAUCCUCCAGCUUUCUCAGGAACAGUAGUAAGCUCAGAGACCUUGGACAGACAUGGCACGCCAGACCCUUUCCAGGUCCCUGUCAGCUACCAAACUCAGAGGAACACAGCAGUGGAACCGCCAAACCUGAGACCUUCACCCAGAUUUGCCAUCAGCUGA
RNAcentral lists this long non-coding RNA (646 nucleotides) under Dromaius novaehollandiae (emu). RNAcentral describes it as "lncRNA (ENSDNVG00000010659.1)". The record is from RNAcentral. Lineage: Eukaryota; Metazoa; Chordata; Aves; Casuariiformes; Dromaiidae.